UACGGAGGAUGCGAGCGUUAUCCGGAUUUAUUGGGCGUAAAGGGCUCGUAGGCGGUUCGUCGCGUCCGGUGUGAAAGUCCAUCGCUUAACGGUGGAUCCGCGCCGGGUACGGGCGGGCUUGAGUGCGGUAGGGGAGACUGGAAUUCCCGGUGUAACGGUGGAAUGUGUAGAUAUCGGGAAGAACACCAAUGGCGAAGGCAGCAUACCGGCGCCCGACUGACGCUGAAGCACGAAAGCGUGGGUAUCGAACAGG
Molecule: ribosomal RNA, 253 nt
Filed under: uncultured Bifidobacterium sp.
Lineage: Bacteria; Bacillati; Actinomycetota; Actinomycetes; Bifidobacteriales; Bifidobacteriaceae
Description: partial 16S ribosomal RNA
Rfam family: Bacterial small subunit ribosomal RNA
Source: RNAcentral